Molecule: ribosomal RNA, 497 nt
Filed under: uncultured bacterium
Lineage: Bacteria
Description: partial 16S ribosomal RNA
Rfam family: Bacterial small subunit ribosomal RNA
Source: RNAcentral
GUUGAACGCUGGCGGCGUGCCUUACACAUGCAAGUCGAGCGAACGGACGAGGCGAUUGCUUCUCUCAUGUCAGCGGCGGCCGGGUUAGUACCACGUGUCUAACCUACCUGUACGACUGGGAUAGCUUCCGGAAACCGUAGCUAAUACCGGAUAAUAUUUUCAUCCGCAUGGUUCAAGAGCCCAAGACCGUCUCGCUGUCCCUUACAGAUGGAUCCGCGCUGCAUUAGCUAGUUGGUAAGGUAACGGCUUACCAACGCAACGAUGCAUAGCCGACCUGAGAGGGGGACCGGCCACACUGGAACUGAGACACGGCCCAGACUCCUACGGGAGGCAGCAGUAGGGAAUCUUGCGCAAUGGGCGCAAGCCUGACGCAGCAACGCCGCGUGAAGGAGGAAGGCCUUCGGAUCGUAAAACACUGUUAUUAGGGAAGAACAUGUGUGUAAGUAAAUCUGCACAUCUUGACGGUACCUAAUCAAAAAGCCACGGCUAACUACGUG